RNAcentral lists this ribosomal RNA (505 nucleotides) under uncultured bacterium. Its description in RNAcentral is "partial 16S ribosomal RNA". It matches the Rfam family "Bacterial small subunit ribosomal RNA", at positions 28 to 507 of the family's 1533-position model. The record is from RNAcentral.
GACGAACGCUGGCGGCGUGCCUAAUACAUGCAAGUAGAACGCACAGUUUAUACUGUAGCUUGCUACACCAUAGACUGUGAGUUGCGAACGGGUGAGUAACGCGUAGGUAACCUGCCUGGUAGCGGGGGAUAACUAUUGGAAACGAUAGCUAAUACCGCAUAAUAUUAAUUAUUGCAUGAUAAUUAAUUGAAAGGUGCAAUUGCACCACUACCAGAUGGACCUGCGUUGUAUUAGCUAGUAGGUGAGGUAACGGCUCACCUAGGCGACGAUACAUAGCCGACCUGCGAUGGUGAUCAGCCACCCUGGGAGUGGGACACGGCCCAGGCUCAUACGGGAGGGAGCAGGAGGGAAUCUUCGGCAAUGGGCGAAAGUCUGACCGAGCGACGCCGCGGGAGGGAAGAAGGUUUUCGGAUCGUAAAGCUCUGUUGUAAGAGAAGAACGGGUGUGGGAGUGGAAAGUUCACACUGUGACGGUAACUGAGCAGAAAGGGACGGCUAACUACGUG